RNAcentral lists this ribosomal RNA (177 nucleotides) under Escherichia coli. RNAcentral describes it as "partial 23S ribosomal RNA". It matches the Rfam family "Bacterial large subunit ribosomal RNA", at positions 2766 to 2925 of the family's 2925-position model. Lineage: Bacteria; Pseudomonadati; Pseudomonadota; Gammaproteobacteria; Enterobacterales; Enterobacteriaceae. The record is from RNAcentral. RNAcentral also lists the same sequence under 1 other name.
AAGUGCUGAAAGCAUCUAAGCACGAAACUUGCCCCGAGAUGAGUUCUCCCUGACUCCUUGAGAGUCCUGAAGGAACGUUGAAGACGACGACGUUGAUAGGCCGGGUGUGUAAGCGCAGCGAUGCGUUGAGCUAACCGGUACUAAUGAACCGUGAGGCUUAACCUUACAACGCCGAAG